GCCGUGGUGUUGAAAUUGGUAGACAAGCACCGUUCAGGGCGGUGUGUCGCAAGGCAUGGAGGUUCAAAUCCUCUCCACGGCAC
Molecule: transfer RNA, 83 nt
Filed under: bioreactor metagenome
Description: tRNA-Leu
Rfam family: tRNA
About the family: Transfer RNA (tRNA) molecules are approximately 80 nucleotides in length.
Source: RNAcentral